GGAGCCGUGGCACUGUCAAGUCAUCAGAUGCGGUGAUUGCGAGGCCUGUGGGAAAGUACAAAAGCCUGGGCUAGAUUACCCCUCUCAUCGAGCCCGCCUGUGUGGCACCUGUUUCUUAUCACCCCACUAAGUUCCCGCCUCACAGGGUAGUCUGCCUAGCUAUUAAUCCUAUAUAUAGCCAGUGCCUCCACCCCCGGGAGAGAGACUGAAGCACAAAAGGAGCCGCGGGGAGCGGACCGGUAGAGGCUUCGGGGCAGACUGAAGCACGGAAGGAGCCGCGGAGAGCGGACCGGUAGAGGCUUCGGGGCAGACUGUAUAAGGAGAGAAUAAAGAAAAGCCUGACCACCGCCAGACCUUGUCGUGUGUCUUUCCUGCCGGCCGGGAGCGACAUCGACAUUUGGAGGCCCGCACGGGGAUUGAUCAACCCCGAGACGCGGCGGUGGACUGCAUUCUCCUACACAGUGCUGCAGCUGCAGGACAGGAAUCGGGACGAGAACCAAUGUGGGUCCCAGAGAGGUUGACGCGACAAGUCCCUCGACUGAAGAUCAGGCCUGUUCCACCAGAGGCCAACCGCAGACCCAACAACAAGAUGAGCCCUAAAAGAACUGCAGGACAAUCCCUUUUUGGGGGCCUGGAACGGCUUGCUCCCCUAUGUGCUACCCUUGUAUACGCAUGGCUCGCUCGCAUGGCCUACGACCGCGUUUAAAAGUGACAGGCUUCCCACAUUCUCCUCCCUAGACAACAACAUGUAGCAGGGUGGGUGAGUCAAUGACGGGUAAGAGCGUGCCUCCCCAGCACGACUCAACCUAAGCCAGGCCCUACCCCGUUCCGCUCGAAAGCCGCUGGAUUGUUAGAUAAAUUUCUCUCCGAGGGGAUUCGUGGAGAGAAAUGAGUGCAUGCCUAUGUGCAACCAGGUUCCGUCCGGUUCAUUCCUGGCCCUAGAAAAAAGGACGAGGGCCUCAGGGCCUUGGUGGACCCUGGGACGGCCGACCAGGGUCUACGCUAAGGGCCUACGGUGGGCCUCAGUUCGGGGCAUAGGCCUCUGCACUCUAUCCAGGACGGGCUGCGAUGCGCGUAGCCAUCAUUUAAAAUAAAAUAGGGGGAGAUGUUGGGAGCCGUGGCACUGUCAAGUCAUCAGAUGCGGUGAUUGCGAGGCCUGUGGGAAAGUACAAAAGCCUGGGCUAGAUUACCCCUCUCAUCGAGCCCGCCUGUGUGGCACCUGUUUCUUAUCACCCCACUAAGUUCCCGCCUCACAGGGUAGUCUGCCUAGCUAUUAAUCCUAUAUAUAGCCAGUGCCUCCACCCCCGGGAGAGAGACUGAAGCACAAAAGGAGCCGCGGGGAGCGGACCGGUAGAGGCUUCGGGGCAGACUGAAGCACGGAAGGAGCCGCGGAGAGCGGACCGGUAGAGGCUUCGGGGCAGACUGUAUAAGGAGAGAAUAAAGAAAAGCCUGACCACCGCCA
Cavia porcellus (domestic guinea pig) is the source of this 1462-nucleotide long non-coding RNA. RefSeq lists it as uncharacterized. The transcript is spliced from 2 exons. Lineage: Eukaryota; Metazoa; Chordata; Mammalia; Rodentia; Caviidae. The record is from RefSeq and is a predicted model, not a curated record.